GUAAUCCUACGGGGGGCAGCAGUGAGGAAUAUUGGUCAAUGGUCGGGAGACUGAACCAGCCAAGCCGCGUGAGGGAGGAAGGUACAGAGUAUCGUAAACCUCUUUUGUCAGGGAACAAAGGCGGGGACGUGUCCCCGGAUGAGUGUACCUGAAGAAAAAGCAUCGGCUAACUCCGUGCCAGCAGCCGCGGUAAUACGUAGGUGGCAAGCGUUGUCCGGAUUUAUUGGGCGUAAAGCGAGUGCAGGCGGGUUAAU
Molecule: ribosomal RNA, 254 nt
Filed under: uncultured bacterium
Lineage: Bacteria
Description: partial 16S ribosomal RNA
Rfam family: Bacterial small subunit ribosomal RNA
Source: RNAcentral